RNAcentral lists this ribosomal RNA (253 nucleotides) under uncultured bacterium. Its description in RNAcentral is "partial 16S ribosomal RNA". It matches the Rfam family "Bacterial small subunit ribosomal RNA", at positions 524 to 776 of the family's 1533-position model. The record is from RNAcentral.
UACGUAGGGGGCUAGCGUUGUCCGGAAUCAUUGGGCGUAAAGAGCGUGUAGGCGGUCCAGUAAGUCCGCUGUGAAAGUCGGGGGCUCAACCCUCGAAUGCCGGUGGAUACUGUCGGGCUAGAGUGCGGAAGAGGCGAGUGGAAUUCCUGGUGUAGCGGUGAAAUGCGCAGAUAUCAGGAGGAACACCUAUUGCGAAGGCAGCUCGCUGGGACGUAACUGACGCUGAGACGCGAAAGCGUGGGGAGCAAACAGG